AUUGAACGCUGGCGGCAGGCCUAACACAUGCAAGUCGAACGGUAGCACAGAGAGCUUGCUCUCGGGUGACGAGAGGCGGACGGGUGAGUAACGUCUGGGAAACUGCCCGAUGGAGGGGGAUAACUACUGGAAACGGUAGCUAAUACCGCAUAACGUCGCAAGACCAAAGUGGGGGACCUUCGGGCCUCACACCAUCGGAUGUGCCCAGAUGGGAUUAGCUAGUAGGUGGGGUAAUGGCUCACCUAGGCGACGAUCCCUAGCUGGUCUGAGAGGAUGACCAGCCACACUGGAACUGAGACACGGUCCAGACUCCGACGGGAGGCAGCAGUGGGGAAUAUUGCACAAUGGGCGCAAGCCUGAUGCAGCCAUGCCGCGUGUAUGAAGAAGGCCUUCGGGUUGUAAAGUACUUUCAGCGGGGAGGAAGGCGGUGAAGUUAAUAACUUCACCGAUUGACGUUACCCGCAGAAGAAGCACCGGCUAACUCCGUGCCAGCCGCCGCAGUAA
This 504-nucleotide ribosomal RNA is filed under the name uncultured bacterium. RNAcentral describes it as "partial 16S ribosomal RNA". It matches the Rfam family "Bacterial small subunit ribosomal RNA", at positions 29 to 523 of the family's 1533-position model. The record is from RNAcentral.